RNAcentral lists this ribosomal RNA (311 nucleotides) under uncultured eukaryote. RNAcentral describes it as "partial 18S ribosomal RNA". It matches the Rfam family "Eukaryotic small subunit ribosomal RNA", at positions 1470 to 1796 of the family's 1831-position model. The record is from RNAcentral.
CCCUUAGAUGUUCUGGGCCGCACGCGUGCUACACUGAGUGGAUCAGCGGGUCAGGUUGCGCGAAAGCGUUUCCUAAUCUUUAAAUCCGCUCGUGAUGGGGAUUGACGGUUGCAAUUUUCUGUCAUGAACGAGGAAUACCUUGUAAGCGCGGGUCAUCAUCCCGCGCUGAAUACGUCCCUGCCCUUUGUACACACCGCCCGUCGCUCCUACCGAUUGAUUGAUCCGGUGAAUUACAUAGAAUUUUGCGUUUUACAUGACGGAAGACGAAGUGUUUUAAACCUUAUCAUUUAGAGGAAGGAGAAGUCGUAACA